CACCAAGGCGACGAUCAGUAGCCGGCCUGAGAGGGUGAACGGCCACACUGGAACUGAGACACGGUCCAGACUCCUACGGGAGGCAGCAGUGGGGAAUAUUGCACAAUGGGGGAAACCCUGAUGCAGCGACGCCGCGUGAGUGAAGAAGGUCUUCGGAUCGUAAAACUCUGUCCUUGGUGACGAAGAAAAUGACGGUAGCCAAGGAGGAAGCCCCGGCUAACUACGUGCCAGCAGCCGCGGUAAUACGUAGGGGGCGAGCGUUGUCCGGAUUUACUGGGCGUAAAGGGUGAGUAGGCGGUUAUAUAUGUCAGGUGUAAAAAGCUAUGGCUUAACCAUAGUAAGCACUUGAAACUGUAUGACUUGAGUGCAGGAGAGGUAAGCGGAAUUCCUAGUGUAGCGGUGAAAUGCGUAGAUAUUAGGAGGAACACCGGUGGCGAAGGCGGCUUACUGGACUGUAACUGACGCUGAGUCACGAAAGCGUGGGUAGCAAACAGGAUUAGAUACCCUGGUAGUCCACGCUGUAAACGAUGAGUGCUAGGUGUUGGGUAGCGAUAUUCAGUGCCGUAGUAAACACAAUAAGCACUCCGCCUGGGGAGUACGUACGCAAGUAUAAAACUCAAAGGAAUUGACGGGGACCCGCACAAGCAGCGGAGCAUGUGGUUUAAUUCGAAGCAACGCGAAGAACCUUACCAAGGCUUGACAUCCCCUUGACAGAUGCAGAGAUGUAUCCUCCCCUUCGGGGGCAAGGGAGACAGGUGGUGCAUGGUUGUCGUCAGCUCGUGUCGUGAGAUGUUGGGUUAAGUCCCGCAACGAGCGCAACCCUUAUCCUUAGUUGCCAGCAUUUAAGGUGGGCACUCUAAGGAGACUGCCGGUGAUAAACCGGAGGAAGGUGGGGAUGACGUCAAAUCAUCAUGCCCCUUAUGUCUUGGGCUACACACGUGCUACAAUGGUCGGUACAACGGGGAGCGAAGGAGCGAUCCCAAGCAAAUCCCAAUAAACCGAUCCCAGUUCGGAUUGCAGGCUGCAACUCGCCUGCAUGAAGUCGGAGUUGCUAGUAAUCGCGAAUCAGAACGUCGCGGUGAAUGCGUUCCCGGGUCUUGUACACACCGCCCGUCACACCAUGGAAGUUGGUAAUACCCGAAGUCGCUGAGCUAACUGUAAAGAGGCAGGCGCCGAAGGUAGGAUCAAUGACUGGGGUGAAGUCGUAACAAGGUAGCCGUAUCGGAAGGUGCGGCUG
RNAcentral lists this ribosomal RNA (1237 nucleotides) under anaerobic digester metagenome. RNAcentral's name for it is "bacterial SSU rRNA". It matches the Rfam family "Bacterial small subunit ribosomal RNA", at positions 266 to 1520 of the family's 1533-position model. The record is from RNAcentral.